This is a long non-coding RNA of Oncorhynchus tshawytscha (Chinook salmon), 1063 nucleotides long. The record is from Ensembl. NCBI's taxonomy places the organism in Eukaryota, Metazoa, Chordata, Actinopteri, Salmoniformes, Salmonidae.
CAGGGUUAGACAGGGUUAGACAGGGUUAGACGGGGUUAGACAGGGUUAGACAUGGUUAGACAGGGUUAGACGGGGUUAGACAGGGUUAGACGGGGUUACACAGGGUUACACAGGGUUAGACAGGGUUUUGCAGAUGGAGACAGGGUUAGACAGGGUUAGACAGGGUUAGACGGGGUUAGACAGGAUUAGACAGGGUUUUACAGAUGGAGACAGGGUUAGACGGGGUUAGACAGGGUUAGACGGGGUUACACAGGGUUAGACGGGGUUACACAGGGUUACACGGGGUUAGACAGGGUUAGAGGGUUAGACAGGGUUAGACGGGGUUACACAGGGUUAGACGGGGUUACACAGGGUUAGACAGGGUUAGACAGGGUUAGACAGGGUUAGACAGGGUUAGACAGGGUUAGACAGGGUUAGACAGGGUUUUACAGAUGGAGACAGGGUUAGACAGGGUUAGACAGGGUUUUACAGAUGGAGACAGGGUUAGACAGGGUUAGACAGGGUUACACAGGGUUAGACAGGGUUUUACAGAUGGAGACAGGGUUAGACAGGGUUAGACGGGGUUAGACAGGGUUAGACAGGGUUAGACGGGGUUAGACAGGGUUAGACAGGGUUUUACAGAUGGAGACAGGGUUAGACAGGGUUAGACAGGGUUAGACAGAUGGAGACAGGGUUAGACAGGGUUAGACGGAGUUAUACAGGGUUAGACAGGGUUAGACUGAGUUAGACAGGGUUAGAGGGUUAGACGGGGUUAGACAGGGUUAGACAGGGUUAGACGGGGAUAGACGGGGAUAGACGGGGUUAGACAGGGUUAGACAGGGUUAGAGGGUUAGACAGGGUUAGAGGGUUACACGGGGUUAGAUGGGGAUAGACGGGGUUAGAUGGGGAUAGACGGGUUUAGACAGGGUUAGACUGAUGGAGAGGGAAAUAAUAGCAAUGGGGAAGAGAAUGGAGGGAAGAGAGAGAGAGAAGGAGAGAGAGAGAGUGAGAGAGAGGGGUGGGGAAGGAGAGAGUGUGAGAGGAGAGAGAGCGAGAGAGGGGGCUGGGGGGAGAGAGAGCACAG